CCAAUAGCGUAUAUUAAAGUUGUUGCAGUUAAAAAGCUCGUAGUUGAAUUUCGGGAUUGACGUGACGGUCGUGCCUUAAGGGGUAUGAACUGUCGCCGUUGAUUUCUCACCUUCUGGAGAAGCUCGAUGUCCUUAAUUGGAUGUCUUGUGGAACCAGGACCUUUACCUUGAAAAAAUUAGAGUGUUUAAAGCAGGCAUUUUGCUCGAAUACAUUAGCAUGGAAUAAUAGAAUAGGACGGCAUGGCUCUAUUUUGUUGGUUUCUAGGAUCACCGUAAUGAUUAAUAGGGAUAGUUGGGGGCAUUAGUAUUCAAUUGUCAGAGGUGAAAUUCUUGGAUUUAUUGAAGACUAACUACUGCGAAAGCAUUUGCCAAGGAUGUUUUCAUUAAUCAAGAACGAAAGUUAGGGGAUCGAAGACGAUCAGAUACCGUCGUAGUCUUAACCAUAAACUAUGCCGACUAGGAAUCAGACGAUGUUAAUUUUUUAAUGACUCGUUUGGCACCUUACG
RNAcentral lists this ribosomal RNA (506 nucleotides) under uncultured Glomeromycotina. Its description in RNAcentral is "partial small subunit ribosomal RNA". It matches the Rfam family "Eukaryotic small subunit ribosomal RNA", at positions 591 to 1092 of the family's 1831-position model. The record is from RNAcentral. Lineage: Eukaryota; Fungi; Glomeromycota.